Ctenopharyngodon idella (grass carp) is the source of this 988-nucleotide long non-coding RNA. RefSeq lists it as uncharacterized. The record is from RefSeq and is a predicted model, not a curated record. The transcript is spliced from 2 exons. NCBI's taxonomy places the organism in Eukaryota, Metazoa, Chordata, Actinopteri, Cypriniformes, Xenocyprididae.
CUGUAUGAUAUUAUACUGGACCAGCGCCGUUUGGGAUGAUUGUUUCAUCUGCGGGCGCCAUCUUAGAGAUUGUAUAUUAUAGGGAGAUGAGAGGGUCUGUAUCAGAGCCGUUGAAAAACAGUUGCGACAUAGACUUCCAUAGGAACUUUGGAAUACGGAAGUAAAGCGUGUAGUGGAGCAGCCGAUAGUUCCAAACACUGAUAGUUCCAGCGCUGAACCCCAUUCAUUUUCAGUGAUUCCGAAGUUCACUCGCUGUUCUCUCCAGCAGCAAGAGGCUUGACUCGACUCAAGACCCGGUCUCCUCUGCGUUUUUGUUGUGUUUUGGUCGAUCGGAUCACAAGUGGACGAGGGAGACACAUACACGUUUACACCUGGUGUUUUAAUCGUCUCUUUUGUCAACUUUCAACCACUUCUGUCCUGAUUUCUUCGAGCAGAGGGUCUACUGGAGGGUAAACGUAUGUUGUUGUUUUUUUUGUUUUUUUUCAGAUCUUUCAAUCUAAAGAACAAAAAAAGCUUGAGCAGUUUACAUAUGAACACGCCCAGAGAUGACAGGAAAUCAUACUGAGAGCAUCAGUGUUCUUUUUACCCUGACAGCCACAAGACCAGUCGAACACUGUGAGUGUGUGUGUUAGAAAUCAGAAUGGUGAGAGAACAUUGUGCUUGGUACAUUUUUCAUCUUCAAAUCAAACUUGGGUCUUCAGCUGACAAAAUUUAAACCCUGUCUGGCUUGAGUUUGAAUGCUUUUGUUAUCAUUGUACGGAUAAGCAUUUGACUGAUUCUCGAUUCACCACCAGGUCUCCAGAUCAGCUGCGCUGGAAGAAUGUAAUGGCUAUUGUGAACACUUGUAUUCCUAUUCUGGCCUGCUUUCUGCCAUCUUACUCUCUCUGUAGGUAGUCGAAUGAGUUUCUUUGAAGACAGAACAUUCAAGGAAAACUUGCCUACCCUCUCCCUGUAUAUAAUAUAUAAUUAAAUGUUUUGUUGAAUGCAA